CAUACCUAUUCGAAGGGAUAGGGUCGGUUCGGCCGGAUUUUACACAAGUGUUGCAUGGCUGUCGUCAGCUCGUGUCGUGAGAUGUUGGGUUAAGUCCCGCAACGAGCGCAACCCUCAUCCUUAGUUGCUAUCAGGUAAUGCUGAGUACUUUAAGGAAACUGCCAGUGAUAAGCUGGAGGAAGGUGGGGAUGAUGUCAAGUCAUCAUGGCCUUUAUGGAGUGGGCUACACACGUGCUACAAUGGUGUCUACAAUGGGCUGCAAGGUGCGCAAGCCUAAGCUAAUCCCUAAAGGACAUCUCAGUUCGGAUUGUACUCUGCGACUCGAGUACAUGAAGUUGGAAUCGCUAGUAAUCGUGGAUCAGCAUGCCACGGUGAAUACGUUCUCGGGUCUUGUACACACUGCCCGUCACGCCAUGGAAUUGGUUUCACUCGAAGCU
This 437-nucleotide ribosomal RNA is filed under the name Wolbachia endosymbiont of Trichogramma ostriniae. RNAcentral's name for it is "bacterial SSU rRNA". It matches the Rfam family "Bacterial small subunit ribosomal RNA", at positions 992 to 1428 of the family's 1533-position model. The record is from RNAcentral. Lineage: Bacteria; Pseudomonadati; Pseudomonadota; Alphaproteobacteria; Rickettsiales; Anaplasmataceae.